AUAUAUAUUCUACUGUGAAGAACAAAACCCUAGUAGAGCGUUUUUCCCUCCCGAAUCAGUGAGCUUCACCAACGCCACCGCUACUGGAGCUGGCACCGGCGCCGCCGUUACUCUAAACAGAAGAUUUGUCUCCUUCUCUUCUCCGAUUCAUGUUCGCACUGCUUCUCCCUGUGAAUUUUCUUCCAAUCUCACGUUAAGGUUUGAGUUUUUUCCCAAAUCAGUGGAGGCUUCACCAACGCCACCGCCAUUGGAGCUGCGCCGGCGCCAACGUUACCCUAAACAGAAGACUGGUCUCCUUCUCUUCUUCAAGUUCAUGUUUGCAUUGCUUCUCUCUGCGAAUUCUUUUCGAAUCUCUCAUUAAGGUUUGGGUUUUUUUUGUGCUUUCUACAUCACAUUACACUAAUUUUCUACAAUAGACUGCUAAUUUGAUUAGUUAAUUUUUUAUUUUGCUUGAUUUCUUAUAUGCUCUGUGAUUAUGUUGCAUGCAAAUAACGUGUUUGAUGAUUUGCCUCAAUAAAGAGUUUAAGCUUGUGACAUAUUUUUACAUGCUUAAUUUGGCUUGAAUCUGACAAAAACAUAUGCUUACAUGCUUAAUUUGCCUCAAUAAAGAGUUUAAGCUUAUGGUUUCUUUUUUUGAAUCUGACAAAAACAUAUUUUUAUAUGCUUAAUUUGGCUUGAAUGACUGCUCAAUCUUCCUCAUCUUCACUUCUUUUCUCAUUUAGAAUCUUCUUAUAUAACUUGCAAAGCAUUUAAUUUUAUUUCUUAUCUUGUUGCAUAUUAAGGAUCUUGUUCGGUUUUAUGUUGGUUGAAAUGAAGAAGUUGUAGUUUAGGAACUUUUGAUAUUAGCAUAAUAGUAGUAGUAGUAGUAAAGUUCCUAAUUGCUACUUCAUUUUCAUUUAUGCCUGAAAUCAAUCUCUUUAAAAACAUGCUAAUUUUUGUUCUGUUUCUCUGCCUUCUUUUAUUAUUAUCUUUAAUUCUCUGCCAAUCUGUUGUUGAAAUGCAAUACAACAACAAAUUUAGAUUUCAAGAACAUUGAAGGAGUUUUUUUUAUGGGUUCUCAGUUUUUCAUUCCAAGUCUAAAUUUAAACCUGGCAUAUUAGAGUACAAUUAUUAUUCAAAGAGUAGAAAUUAUUCUUAUUUAUUAAUUUGAUUGUUAAAAAACUAAAACAAUUCCUACAUUGCAUACUCCUUUGGCUUGAUUUUGUUCAUAUUAAGAUGUUUAAUCUUGCAUUUUUUUUGUUUGGAUUAUUCCUUUUCAAAUUGAUAUAUGGAUUACGGUUCAAUUAGAUUAUGGAAUUAUUAUUGAUUCAUGCUUUCUUGAUUAUGACAAGUUCCAACUAGUUUUUCUGACAUACAUUGGUUUGGCCCUAUUUUUGUACUUGUUAUAAGAACAAAAAGUAUUAAAAGUAUAUAGUGUACCUGUUAGAAUCCUCUGAGCUGUUCUCCAAAAUUGAAGGGGGAGCCAUUGUUGUUGUUAGUUUUAAUAUGAUGUGUCACUGAUCUAUCACUUGCGUUUGACUCUAUCAGUUGUAUAUAACCUGUGUAUGGCUCAAUAUAAAGCCAAGAUUACCCUCCAAGACAUGGUCCCUUUCAGUCAUGUCAUCUAUGACUUGCUCCAUUUCCUCCAUCAGGUGAUGGAGUUUCAUUAUCCUUCUUUUCUUCUCUAAGUAAUGUUCAAAGCACCUCUUUAUAUGGUACCUACUCUACCUCAAUGCAUCCAGCAUGUUCUCUGUUAUGGAAUUCAUGCGCUUCAACUUCGAUGCUGAAGAAGAAGCAGCAGCCAUUUCUGAAAAAGUUCUUGAUCACAAAACAAUAGCUCGUCUUCAGGCUGCAUGUUUCUUUAACACACGUUAUUUGACAAAUUGAUUUCACAUCUUUGAAACCAAAUUCAGUUGGCAGAUGCAAAGGAUGUAUUGGAAGGCAUUCAAGAUGUGAAAGGUGUUAGUUUUCCUAUAUUAACUCCAAACCUAAAGUAAGAUAUAUAUGCUUUAAAAAUUAUUAUUUCCAUCAUAGUAAAUUAUAUAAUCAGCCAUUUGACUGGUUUGAACUCUGCGGUUUGAAUUCUGUUUAUUUUUUUUUUUGCUGAACUCUGUGAUUUGAAUUCUGUUUAUUUUAUUUCUCAAAUAAAUUAUUGCUUCAACUUGGUGGGUGCUUUUCUCCAUAUAUAUGCAUGCUCGAUUGAUUGUUUUUUAGCAUACCAUUCAUGAUGGAGGAGAUGUUCCGGUCUAUGAGUGAUAUCAGACUAUCAGAAAUGGAAGUGGAUCCACCACCAAUCUUCAGUCAAAGGUCUGAUUUCCAAUUCUUGCUGCAACACAUUGAAAGCAAUUCUCAGUAACCUAGCAAAACUUUAGUGUUCAUACACAGUUAUACUUUCUUAUUUCUAUUGAUUUGAUUUGAGUUUGGUGUGAGGAGUGUAAAUUGAGUGAAGAGGUGAGGGAUUGUAAUUAUUUUUUUUGUAUCUAUUCCUUUUCAUUUGUUUUCUGGAAGUUCCCUAUUUUUUAUUCUUCUAGGGCCUUCUUUUCAAGAAGAAGGAAUACCACAGUGAAAUUUGAUAUUGCUGUACAGUAUAAAUUUUGAAAGGAAUGAAAUGAAGGAAAGCUUAUUUUUGUUA
This is a non-coding RNA of Arachis ipaensis, 2611 nucleotides long. The record is from RefSeq and is a predicted model, not a curated record. NCBI's taxonomy places the organism in Eukaryota, Viridiplantae, Streptophyta, Magnoliopsida, Fabales, Fabaceae.